UUUAUGCUUUUUAUCUCAUUCAUUUUUAUGUACUUUUCCAUGUUUAGUUACUCACACACUUGUGUUCAUUUCCCUUUAUAACUUUGAAUGAUGUUUGUGUACUUUGGUGCUUGUACCAUGGAUUCAAUGUUUGUUUUAACUCCUUCUUGAUCUAGAGACCUUGGUUAUUUGAAUAAUAUGUAUUUAUGAUUAUUUUUAUGUGAUGUUGCUUCCCAUUUUGGUUUGAUAACAUGUUGAUUGAUUUAGUUGUAUUCACAACUUAUUUUGAG
RNAcentral lists this long non-coding RNA (269 nucleotides) under Lathyrus oleraceus (garden pea). RNAcentral's name for it is "Pisum sativum (pea) long non-coding RNA (PSAT_LNC016184)". The record is from RNAcentral. Lineage: Eukaryota; Viridiplantae; Streptophyta; Magnoliopsida; Fabales; Fabaceae.